AGAAUUUUAAGUUAUAAUAUAAACUAAAGAUUUUCAAAAUCUUAAAAACUUCAUUUAGUAAAUUUAA
This 67-nucleotide transfer RNA is filed under the name Acerella muscorum. RNAcentral's name for it is "tRNA-Trp". The record is from RNAcentral. Lineage: Eukaryota; Metazoa; Arthropoda; Protura; Acerentomata; Acerentomidae.